AGUGAACGCUGGCGGUAGGCCUAACACAUGCAAGUCGAACGGCAGCACAGGAGAGCUUGCUCUCUGGGUGGCGAGUGGCGGACGGGUGAGGAAUACAUCGGAAUCUACUCUGUCGUGGGGGAUAGCGUAGGGAAACUUACGCUAAUACCGCAUACGACCUACGGGUGAAAGCAGGGGAUCUUCGGAACUUGCGCGAUUGAAUGAGCCGAUGUCGGAUUAGCUAGUUGGCGGGGUAAAGGCCCACCAAGGCGACGAUCCGUAGCUGGUCUGAGAGGAUGAUCAGCCACACUGGAACUGAGACACGGUCCAGACUCCUACGGGAGGCAGCAGUGGGGAAUAUUGGACAAUGGGCGCAAGCCUGAUCCAGCCAUACCGCGUGGGUGAAGAAGGCCUUCGGGUUGUAAAGCCCUUUUGUUGGGAAAGAAAUCCAGCUGGCUAAUACCCGGUCGGGAUGACGGUACCCAAAGAAUAAGCACCGGCUAACUUCGUGCCAGCCGCCGCCGUAA
Molecule: ribosomal RNA, 506 nt
Filed under: uncultured bacterium
Lineage: Bacteria
Description: partial 16S ribosomal RNA
Rfam family: Bacterial small subunit ribosomal RNA
Source: RNAcentral